AUUCUACUCCCUCCGUUGCACAAUACAUGCCUUCUAUUUGUCAAAAUAUAUAUGUAUCUAGACAUGUUUUAGUAUAUAGGUACAUCCAUUUUUGGACAAAUGGAAGUCAAGUAUUUUCGAAUGGAGGGAGUACACA
Triticum aestivum (bread wheat) is the source of this 136-nucleotide non-coding RNA. The record is from Rfam. Lineage: Eukaryota; Viridiplantae; Streptophyta; Magnoliopsida; Poales; Poaceae.